CCCAGGUGUCAGGGAGAAUGGGCUUCGGGGAAUAGGCUUGCCUGCUUCAUCUCCUGACUCCUCUCCUAGGCACUUUGAUCCGGUUUUCCAGUUCUUGCACAAGCAAGUUUUUGUCAGCCACGCCCUGGGGAGGAUCCACUGGAUCACCGCCGUCACAGCCUGUUCCCGGUGGCCUCUCCGGCUUCCCUAAAGAGAGCAGGUGGGACUUUCUACAACGCUGCUAUGCACGACGCGGAUGCCGUAUGCAUGUUGCUGGGGGAAGCCACUCCGGACACUGUGUUUUCUCUGGGACAUGUCUUCUGCCCAGAUGAAAACUCAGCCUGUAAUCAGUCUGAUUGGUGUGAACAGCGACCAUUCAGAGGCUGGAGUGAGUGAAGUUACAAAGUUGCAAACGAAGACUUGACCCACAAUCAGUCUGAUUUGUUGCCGACAGCCAGUUUCCCAUCUGCCAGGCAGAAACAUAUGGCCGCCUUAAAAGAUGCAGAUGCUGUUGUGAUCAGCAUGAAGUUUCCCUGUGAGGCUGUGGUCAGCGUGGACAUCAGCCAGCACUGCACAGACAGCUGCGACCAGGACGUCAGCCAGCACUGCACAGACAGCUGCAACCAGGACGUCAGCCAGCACUGCACAGACAGCUGCGACCAGGAUGUCAGCCAGCACUGCACAGACAGCUGCAACCAGAGACUGGAGGUGACGCCUGCCCUUUUCCACCCUUCGCCAGUCCACUGUGAAAAGCUGGGUUGAUUGUGCAGGUUAGAUAGAGGUCAUCAGCCAGGUUGAUUGUGU
Molecule: small RNA, 783 nt
Filed under: Pan troglodytes (chimpanzee)
Lineage: Eukaryota; Metazoa; Chordata; Mammalia; Primates; Hominidae
Description: processed transcript
Source: RNAcentral